RNAcentral lists this long non-coding RNA (362 nucleotides) under Arachis ipaensis. RNAcentral describes it as "long non-coding RNA (AIPA_LNC002062)". The record is from RNAcentral. Lineage: Eukaryota; Viridiplantae; Streptophyta; Magnoliopsida; Fabales; Fabaceae.
GAAACCCCAAGGGAUCAGACAAGCAAGAACCUCAUUUCUCCUCUCUCCCUCUCAACUAAGUGCGGGGCUGCUGUCGGAAGAACCACCGUCGGCGAGCCAAGCACCACCGUCUGGCUCCAGUGGCUACUUCUCCACCUUCCCUCGGUUCCGUUCGCACCGUCCGCUGCAGAAUCCACUGCUAGCUGCGGCAACCCGUCACUGUCUCGUGCUCCGUCGCGAUUCCCUGGAAACGCAGCUGCCACCUGCUUCUUCGUCGUUGGAGCCUCCUCUUCACGAUCCCAAGGGAAGACCGUCGCAAGGAGUGGAGCUGGUCUUGCCAAGAUCGGAGAAACGCGCCGGAAUCCUCCGCCACACCUUCGAGG